CAAGGAUGCCAAAAUGAAAUACCAGGAGUGCAACAAGAUCGUGAAGCAGAAGGCCUUUGAGCGGGCCAUCGCAGGCGACGAGCACAAGCGCUCCGUGGUGGACUCGCUGGACAUCGAGAGCAUGACCAUUGAGGAUGAGUACAGCGGACCCAAGCUUGAAGACGGCAAAGUGACAAUCAGUUUCAUGAAGGAGCUCAUGCAGUGGUACAAGGACCAGAAGAAACUGCACCGGAAAUGUGCCUACCAGAUUCUGGUACAGGUCAAAGAGGUCCUCUCCAAGCUGAGCACGCUCGUGGAAACCACACUCAAAGAGGUGCGCGUUGUGGGGCAGUGCGGGGAGGGCCAGCGGGGGUGGGCUCUCUGGCUGGGGAGGGGCCACAGAGCUCAGGAACUCACGGAUCCACCUCCCUCUCUCCCUCACACCCCACCCCUGUGCCUUUCCUCCUGAAUAUCCCAUUUCUCUCCUGGCCUCUUGGUCUUCGUUUGUGUUCCCUGCUUGUGUCUCUUGCAUGAUUCUUCUUGGUCUACUGUGAACUCUUACCCUUCCC
Molecule: small RNA, 548 nt
Filed under: Pan troglodytes (chimpanzee)
Lineage: Eukaryota; Metazoa; Chordata; Mammalia; Primates; Hominidae
Description: retained intron
Source: RNAcentral